UACGAAGGGGGCUAGCGUUGCUCGGAAUCACUGGGCGUAAAGCGCACGUAGGCGGCCUCUUAAGUCGGUGGUGAAAUCCUGGAGCUCAACUCCAGAACUGCCUUCGAUACUGAGAGUCUCGAGUCCGAGAGAGGUGAGUGGAACUGCGAGUGUAGAGGUGAAAUUCGUAGAUAUUCGCAAGAACACCAGUGGCGAAGGCGGCUUACUGGUCCGGAACUGACGCUGAGGUGCGAAAGCGUGGGGAGCAAACAGG
RNAcentral lists this ribosomal RNA (253 nucleotides) under uncultured bacterium. Its description in RNAcentral is "partial 16S ribosomal RNA". It matches the Rfam family "Bacterial small subunit ribosomal RNA", at positions 524 to 776 of the family's 1533-position model. The record is from RNAcentral.